Microcebus murinus (gray mouse lemur) is the source of this 1116-nucleotide non-coding RNA. The record is from RefSeq and is a predicted model, not a curated record. NCBI's taxonomy places the organism in Eukaryota, Metazoa, Chordata, Mammalia, Primates, Cheirogaleidae.
AACAAAAAUGUAUUUAAUGCAGAUGGGGACAAGUGAACAACAUUCGUGAUUGGACUUGCAAAAACCAAAAAUCUCCAUAAGCAAUGUUUUUUUUUAAGUAAAGGCAUACCAAAAAGGCUUUUUUCAAAAUUGCUGUCAUGCUGCUAAAAAUGACACCACUUAUUUCCUAGCCCUGUUCUAGGAUGUGUCCAUCUGCUUCACCCAAGUGCUAGACUUCCAGGGAGGGGCCAGGGGGCAGACAGUAUUCAGUCUCUAUGGUAGAAGGAAUAAUGAGAAAAGCCCUGAUGGAGGAGUGUACUUGAUGUGUUCAAGACACAGUUCAGAGAACAGUGAGGAGGAAGGAGAGGAGAAAGGCACUGUGACAGAUAUUUUGGGACACAGAGGUGACCGUGCUUGGCAUGAAUUCUUCCUUUCAUGAAACUUGCAGUAAAGCAGAAAAGGGAAAUGAAACUUCAGUGGUAGCGUUUGGCAAUGAGAAAAGAAAGAAUUGUACCUAUGUGGGAAAUAUAAGGGUGUGUUGGGAAUUCCAGCAUUUGUCCCAGAUGCACUUAUGAAGGAAAAGUGAUCGAGUGAAGUGUUUAGGAUAUGUGUGGAAAAUGUUUACGAUACAAGUUUCAAUGAAAACAAAAAGACUGGUUAUAUAGGAUUAUAAGCAGAUGAAAACAAACAACCUUUGAACAGAAAAGCCAAAAAUAAGAACAAUGAUAAACUGUAUAGAUAAGAGAUAAUGUCCAUGUUGAUACAAAUACAAGAAGCUGCCUUCAGUGGGUUGAAUGAUGGACCCAAGGAAGGAUAUCUCCAUAUCCUAAUCCCCUGAAACUAUGAGUGUUCUCAUAUUUGGUCAAAGGGAUUUUGCAGAUGUAAUUAUAUCAAGGAUUUUGAGAUUAUCCUGCAUUGUCGGUUGAGCCUUAAAUCCAGUGACAAGUGUCUUUAUAACCCACAUACAGAGGAGGAAAAGACAGACACAGAAAGGAAAGAGAGGUGAAGAUGGAAGCAGAGAUUAGAAUGACUUGACCACAAACCAAGGAAGCUGGCAUAUUCCAGAAGAGUUAACCAUUAGGAAAAGAAAAGAAACAGAAUCGCGAGAAAGCAAGAAAUCAAUCGAUCAGUUUAUCA